This 193-nucleotide unclassified non-coding RNA is filed under the name soil metagenome. RNAcentral describes it as "partial internal transcribed spacer 1". The record is from RNAcentral.
CAGAGUUGCAAAACUCCCACACAAACCAUCGCGAAUCUUACCCGUACGGUUUUUGCCUCGGCGCUGGCGGUCCGGAAGGCCCUCGGGCCCCCCGGAUCCUCGGGUCUCCCGCUCGCGGGAGGCUGCCCGCCGGAGUGCCGAAACCAAACUCUUGAUAUUUUAUGUCUCUCUGAGUAAACUUUUAAAUAAGUCA